GUUGAAACACCGGUUCCCGUACGAUCAUUGAAGCUAAGUAACGUUGAGCCUGGUCAGUAUCUAGACGGGUGACCGCUUAGGAAUACAAUGUGCUGUAAU
This is a non-coding RNA of Acanthosepion pharaonis, 99 nucleotides long. The record is from the annotation of a GenBank genome assembly. Lineage: Eukaryota; Metazoa; Mollusca; Cephalopoda; Sepiida; Sepiidae.